AUUUGUGUUCCGGCGAAUUUCACAUCAUCUGUUGGAAGAAGAGGGCAGAAAUGGCUGAUACCAUAGCUGACACCAGAAGGCUUUACACUAAGCCACAAAACUUAAAUGACGCUUACGGGCCACCCAGUAAUUUUCUAGAGAUUGACGUAAGCAAUCCUCAGACCAUCGGUGUCGGUAGAGGCAAAUAUACCACGUAUGAAGUCAGACUGAAGACCAACCUACCCAUCUUUAAGCUGAAGGAGUCCAGUGUUCGAAGGCGGUACAGUGAUUUUGAGUGGCUCAGAGCGGAGCUGGAGCGAGAGAGCAAGGUGGUCGUCCCUCCGCUGCCAGGAAAAGCUCUCAUCCGACAGCUUCCGUUCCGAGGGGGCGACGGGAUUUUUGAAGACUCUUUUAUUGAGGAGCGAAGACAGGGUCUGGAGCAGUUUCUCAACAAAUCUGGAGAUUUAGCAUCUUCACAGCCUUAUACGACUUCUACCUGAUGUUUCUCUGAGGAUGGUGUUCCAUGGGUCAUCGGCCUCUCCCUUCAAUCAGAGGCAACUCCACUGUGGACGGAAACCACUUAAAUACAGACAUCGUCUUCAAAUAAGAGAAGAAGAUGAGGAGUGAUGAAAGCAGCUGGGAGACAUUGGCUCUUUUAGAAACACCCAAACAAUGACCAGGGCAGAGAGGUACUUGUUUUUUUUUCUUCUCAUAUUCACCACAUUUUCUCCAUCGUCUGCCCCACCACCCAUCGGCUCAGCACUUUCCCAUCCUCAAAUUCCCUCAAAGUUUCAGAUGCUCACCACUCCACAAUGCCCAGAUGCUGUCCUUUAGCCCUUCACCCCCCCUCCAACCUGGAGCUAUCAUUCAUAACCUUUCUGUGGAGCAGGGAGUGAAAGAGGUGGGAUAAGGGAGAAAAGGGGGGAGCGGAGAGCAACAUGGCAGCUUAUUUAGAAGACUUCCUUUAUUGGAACAUGUGCAAGCAGUUCACUCACAAAGGACUUAAAUAGGAUAUUUUCUGUUCCCUAUAGUUGCUUUCCCCUUUUAAGUGCCGAGGCAAAAAAAGUAAGUUUACAACUCCCUCCUCAAUGGGGGCUCUUCACUCUCAGGUUGCGGGGACCUGAGUGACCUAGGAAAGUUAAUUAGGAGGCGAACAAAGAGCGAGCUGGAGCAGAAUGCCUCGCCUCUCCUCCAGCCAAAGAUGUCAUCCAUUAAUUAGGAAAAUCUUUAAGGUGGCCUUAUUGAAUUUACAGAAAGCCCUGUGGUUGGCGGGCAACAGUUUUUUGAUCAAGUCCUGACUCAAACAAUAGCUUUCUGGGGGUUAAAAAAGAAGAAGAAGGGAGGAGAUUGGUGGUAGACGGAGAGGGAGAAGAGAAAGAAACGUAUGGAGUUCGCGGCGCAGUACAGUUUAAUGGGAGGGGCGGGGGUGCUGGUGGCUGCCGAUUGUGACAGCUCAGAUUCACAUGGGUAUGGGGGGCAUAGUUUGGGGAUGAUGUCAUGCAAAGGCAACCUGGGGGCUUGGGAAGUAAGGAGAAGGAGGGGGGUGUGCUGAGCUUGAGCCACAGGGGCCACUCAAAGUUAACAUCGCUGCCUGCAACUGGGCCAACUCCUUUUCUUUCCUGAACGCCAAGCCCUCCACCACUCCUCUUUCCCCUUCGUUCACAAAUCACAGCCUGCUUUACAGCUAGAACCUCUCACUAACUGACCAGCUAACUGCCUUUUAUUGACCGACCAACUGUCUACUCACCUCUGGGGCACUAUGAAUAUAAAAGUGAAGCGUUGAUAGAGCUGUUUAUUUUGAAUCCUAGUGAUACUGUGCUGUAAAAUCCUGACAACAGUGUAAACCAUAUGUCACUCAUAAAAUCUUAAAUGUGAAAAAAAAAAUCAAUUGAAUGUUUGAGAUAAGAAGCCAAAAUGAUUCGAUGGAGAAUGUUCUGGUGAAUUAUACCACCACAUGUCAUGAGUUAGAAACAAAAACUACAAGAUGCAAUAAAGAUAAUGGAGAAUUGUCAUAUGGAUAAAAGGUCAAAUUAAGAGAUAAAAGUAAAAAAAAAUCAAAUGUGGUCUUUGUUAUACGUCCUUUUGAUUGUAGGGCAGAAAAUACGUUAAUUUUGAAAACAAAAAGUGUCUCAGCAAUGAUGUACAAAUGAUAGUUUAAUCAGACUUUCUUUACAUACAAACACACUUAAUUCACCAAAGUCCAAAGAAACCACACACACACACACACACACACACACGUAAAGGCAAGCCUCUGCUGCAUGUUCAUGCCCUGUGCUGUCAGACUCCUCUGACCAUGCGUCUACUAGGGCAUGAACCCCACGUCCCCCCCGAGGGGGAGAGGAGUGGGGACUAAUUUGAGGGGAGGGGCGACGUGUUUAGUUGCUUGUCAGAAACAAUCGCUCCUGGCCCAUUACAUUACAGCACGUCAUGCUUUCACUGCUGUAACACGCUGAGCUGUGAGAAGGGGGGACACAACAGGGUUGGGGGUGGAGGGGAGGGGAGGGGGAGGAGGUGUUGGGCUCAAGACGACUGUGGAGUGAAAGUUUAAAAUAAGGCAAAGAAAUAAAAUUAAAGGCAAAUAGUUUCUAAGAGUGAAAAAAAGAUAAAGGUAAAAAGUGUGAAACAAAAAGUGUUGUUGAAAAGAGCAAAACUAAACGUCUAAAAAGUCAAGAAGACAAAAAGGGACAAAAUCUGACAAAAGCAAGAUGUUAAAAAGGAGGGAGGAGUUGGCAAAUGAAAAUCUGCUGAAGAAUCUAAGGUAGAUAAAAAAGGAACUGAUCAAAUGUAGCAGCUGUAAUGGUUUGGUAAAGAGGUGAGGCUAAAGUGAAUAACAACUUUAUUUAGGCUGUGUGGGCCUCAGCCCAGCCCUCCCUUGUUCUGUGUACCAGCCCACCCGUCCUCCCUCUGUUCUGUUUGGGCACUGGAGGUUGUCAGACUGGGUUUAUGUGCAGUUCAGUGGAGCUGAAAGAAGUCACUUUCGUGUCUUGUUAUGGAACAAGAUGUCUUUGCCUCUCAGGAGUGAUGAGAAGUGUUCUGGGUGAGCAGGGCGAGCAGGGAGUGGGACCAUCCCCUGGAGGCGACCAGCAGUGAGGAAGUCAAAGCGGCUUUUGUGUAGCUGCUGGUGGGUUCGUGUUUGGUAAUUAUCCUCCCUCUAAGUGAGAGCAGGACCAGGCCUUUCCACCGUAGACCAACACCACACACGAGUGUACGAGAAUGUACGACACAGUGUCGUCAACAAAGAUUUGUUCCUAAGAUGAAGCUGAGAUGAGAGUGUCUGCUCUGUGGUGUGACAGUGAAUGAACAGAUCUGAAUCAAUCAGACUGUAUCCUUAAAAUAUAAAUCUAAUUUGUUAGUGUAUCUUAGUACUAGUUGCUAGUAUUACUACUAAUCUUAGUUAGUUAGUAAUACUUUUCCCCGUCAAUGUGCUUAUUCCAAAUACUCACAGUAAAUUUUUACAAAGGGCCACAGAAAUACAAACUACUUGCACAGAACAUUUUUAAAUUCUUCCUCUUCAUCAUCAGUUCCAACACUACCAUUACAGCAUCACUGUCGUCAUCACCUCAGCUUCCAAACUCUCUUCAACGUCCCUCUGAUCCUACACCUUAUAAUCAUUGUCAUCACGUUCUCCAUCAUCAUCACCUCAGUCUGAUUCAACUUACCAUCACUGGCCAUCAUCCUGCCUUUGGCGUCUCCAUCGCUGGUCAACCAACCUCACUGGACUAGACCUCAAAUCUGAAAUUAUCAUCUAUUUCCCGCUCAGCUGAUUUUUUUCCCAUUAACAGCUCUUGAUUUAAACCUGCUUCAGAUGUGUUCUUUUCAAAGACACAGAAUAGGCCUGCCUUGAUCUGCACCAAUUGUCAUACCACGGCUGAGGGGCACUUCUGCGGCCGGUAUAGCGGGCAAAGUCAGGGCUAAUCCCCGAAGAAGAGGAGAAUCACGGGAGAGGAGAGAAGCAACAAUAACCAAGUCAAGCGUAUAAAAUGAAAGCGAAAUCUCUAUUAUCACUCCCUGCAAUUCCCAGCAAAGUUGUGAAAAUCAGGGUUAGUUUGUGAUUCGAGUCAGACGCAGAGGGGUGAAUAUGGGGGUCCCUGCUGGCUGGGAGACUCACACGACGAAAAGGGCAAUAUUAGGCAGAAAGGGGGAAGAAGAAAGACCCUCUCCCAUCCCGACAUAACCAUUAAAUGCAGUCUGACUUUAUGUUGUAUAGAGCGAGGGAAACAAGAAAGGAGGCACAGUUCUCCGAUGAAAGAAUGAGGUUUUUGGCGGAUUAGGGACGGACCGAAGGAUGAAGAAUAACUUCUGCAUAACUCUACAGCUACUUUCUCUCCCCACGCCAAGAGCCAAGUUUAAGGCUGAGCUAUGUUUGAGUAGUUAACCCCUUUGUGAUUGUCCAAACUGUGCCUCUCACAAGGAGGGAACUAACAGGACUACCACACUGCAGCACUCCAUAUUAGGUAAAAAUAUUAAAACAGACUAACACGGUUUGAUACAACAACAAAGGCAAUAACAGCUAAAGAUUUGUAUAGCUAUAAAUAUUUAUAAAGGGUAAAUGUUUUACAUUUAAGAAAAAUGUAAUAGAUUUAGAGAACAGCAAUUGACAAUUAAUAAUUCAGUGCUUUUAAAAAACAGAGUCUAAAAAAAGUAUAAUCAAUAUAAUGUUGAUAAUAAUCCAAGCAAUGACAUGUUUUCUGAUUUUUUUAAAGCUACCCCUGCUGAGAGUUGGAUGAUUGUUAUUAUUUUACUCCCAUUAGAGAAAUAACAAAGGCCUGGGGAACAUCUGAACAAUUAAGUGAACUUUGGUCAGGCCAAGAAGAGUUAAUGAGCUGCCGGUGCUGUGUAUGAAGAGAGAGGAGCAUCAAGGGCCAGAAUCCAUCUGUAGGCUGCAGCUCUCACAGAUAUGAGAAUAGGCUGCUAAUGCUGCACACUUUCUCCCCCCUCAUUUUCAUUAGGCACUGAUGACUGCGUAAUUCAUGCGCCCUGCAAGUUAUCAAGAGCCACUAAUUUCACAUUAACGGCCAUUGACUGUCGUUGCCUGAUUUGAGGGGUUUUUUGACAAUAUUCACAAUCAGGAUCGGUGCCCAGAUCAUUUACCUGACUCUGUGAUUUUUGCUCUGAGAGAGAACACAAAAUGGGAAACAUCCUACUGAUAAUAAUGACAAGACCACAUGGGAUAUAUAAUAAAAUA
Molecule: RNA transcript, 5164 nt
Organism: Cynoglossus semilaevis (tongue sole)
Lineage: Eukaryota; Metazoa; Chordata; Actinopteri; Pleuronectiformes; Cynoglossidae
Gene: snx3
Gene name: sorting nexin 3
Exons: 6
Source: RefSeq, a predicted model, not a curated record